CCUACGGGUGGCUGCAGUGGGGAAUAUUGGACAAUGGGGGGAACCCUGAUCCAGCCAUGCCGCGUGUGUGAAGAAGGCCCUCGGGUUGUAAAGCACUUUCAGGGAGGAAGAACGCCUGGUGGUUAAUACCCAUCAGGAAAGACAUCACUCACAGAAGAAGCACCGGCUAACUCCGUGCCAGCAGCCGCGGUAAUACGGAGGGUGCGAGCGUUAAUCGGAAUUACUGGGCGUAAAGCGCGCGUAGGUGGCUUGAUAAGCCGGUUGUGAAAGCCCCGGGCUCAACCUGGGAACGGCAUCCGGAACUGUCAAGCUAGAGUGCAGGAGAGGAAGGUAGAAUUCCCGGUGUAGCGGUGAAAUGCGUAGAGAUCGGGAGGAAUACCAGUGGCGAAGGCGGCCUUCUGGACUGACACUGACACUGAGGUGCGAAAGCGUGGGUAGCAAACAGGAUUAGAUACCCUUGUAGUC
Molecule: ribosomal RNA, 465 nt
Filed under: Vreelandella stevensii
Lineage: Bacteria; Pseudomonadati; Pseudomonadota; Gammaproteobacteria; Oceanospirillales; Halomonadaceae
Description: partial 16S ribosomal RNA
Rfam family: Bacterial small subunit ribosomal RNA
Source: RNAcentral